RNAcentral lists this ribosomal RNA (494 nucleotides) under uncultured bacterium. Its description in RNAcentral is "partial 16S ribosomal RNA". It matches the Rfam family "Bacterial small subunit ribosomal RNA", at positions 28 to 507 of the family's 1533-position model. The record is from RNAcentral.
GACGAACGCUGGCGGCGUGCUUAACACAUGCAAGUCGAACGGUGAAGCGCCUUCCUUUUUGGUUGCUGUGGUGGCGUGGGGAACGGGUGAGUAAGACGUGAGUAACCUGCCCCCUUCUACUAGUUAACCGCAUGAAGGUGAGGCUAAUACGGGAUAUUCUGCGUCUGUCGCAGGAUGGGUCUGUGUAAGAUAUUGUUUCGGUGGGGGAUGGGCUCGCGGCCGAUCAGGUUGUUGGUGGGGUCAUGGCCUACCAAGGCGGUGGCGGGUAGCCGGCCUGAGAGGGUGGCCGGUCAGACUGGGUAUGAGGCACGGCCGAGACUGAUAUGGGAGGCAGCAGUGGGGGAUAUGGCACAGUGGGGGAGAGCGUAAUGCAGCGAGGCGGCGUGAGGGAUGGAGCCGUGCGGGGUGUGAACCUCUUUCGGUAGUGAAGCAGGCCUGCCUCGUAUGUGGGUGGGUUGACGGUAGCUGGAUAAGAAGCGCCGGCUAACUACGUG